Molecule: ribosomal RNA, 774 nt
Filed under: uncultured Neocallimastigales
Lineage: Eukaryota; Fungi; Neocallimastigomycota; Neocallimastigomycetes; Neocallimastigales
Description: partial large subunit ribosomal RNA
Rfam family: Eukaryotic large subunit ribosomal RNA
Source: RNAcentral
UAUCUCUGUAGAGUCUGCAUAUCAAUAAGCGGAGGAAAAGAAACUAACUAGGAUUCCCUCAGUAACGGCGAGUGAAGCGGGAAGAGCUCAAAUUUGAAAUCUUCAAGGUUCUACCUUGACGAAUUGUAGUUUAAAGAAGUGUUUUCUGUUGGAGUUUUGGUAAAAGUUCUUUGGAAUAGGACAUCAUAGAGGGUGAGAAUCCCGUAUUUGACCAUUAUUUCCAGCUUUGUGAUACACUUUCAAAGAGUCGGAUUGUUUGGGAAUGCAGUCCAAAAUGGGUGGUAAAUUUCAUCUAAAGCUAAAUAUUGGCGAGAGACCGAUAGCGAACAAGUACCGUGAGGGAAAGAUGAAAAGAACUUUGAAAGGAGAGUUAAACAGUACGUGAAAUUGUCAAAAGGGAAGCGUUUGACACCAGUGUUGUUUUCUCGAAAAUCAAUUAAAAAAGGCUGGAUUUUGUGUUGUAUUGACUUUAUCAGCUUUCUGCACUCUUUUCUUAUCUUUUUUAAUGCACUUUUCGUUUAACAAGUCAACAUCAAUUUCUUUUGUUGUAAAAGAGUCAUUGGAAGGUGGCUUUCUUUUCGGAGAAAGUGUUUAUAGCCUUUGCCUCUGCAAUCGGAGAGAUUGAGGUCUGCAGCGUAGAUCCUUCGGGGUUAGAUAGCAUUUGUGCUAAGUUAUAGCCUUUCAUAGACAACUUGUUGACUAUGAUCAGUCAUGUAGCUUACUCGCUUAUGCUAUUUUACCUACGCUUAGGAUGUUGAGUAGCGACAUACGCAC